UACGUAGGAUGCAAGCGUUAUCCGGAUUUAUUAGGUUUAAAGGGUGCGUAGGUGGGCGUUUAAGUCAGUGGUUAAAGCCAUUAGCUUAACUAAUGUAUGCCAUUGAUACUGGAUGUCUUGAAUGUGGUAGAGGUAGGCGGAAUGUGUUGUGUAGCGGUGAAAUGCUUAGAUAUAACACAGAACACCGAUUGCGUAGGCAGCUUACUAUUCCAUUAUUGACGCUGAUGCACGAAAGCGUGGGGAUCAAACAGGAUUAGAUA
This 260-nucleotide ribosomal RNA is filed under the name uncultured prokaryote. RNAcentral describes it as "partial 16S ribosomal RNA". It matches the Rfam family "Bacterial small subunit ribosomal RNA", at positions 524 to 784 of the family's 1533-position model. The record is from RNAcentral.